AUCUUCCGCAAUGGGCGAAAGCCUGACGGAGCGACGCCGCGUGAGUGAUGAAGGCCUUCGGGUUGUAAAGCUCUGUGGGGAGAGAAGAAUAAACGUCGGCCAAUACCCGGCGUGAUGACGGUAUCUCCUUAGCAAGCACCGGCUAACUCUGUGCCAGCAGCCGCGGUAAGACAGAGGGUGCAAACGUUGUUCGGAUUUACUGGGCGUAAAGCGGGUGUAGGCGGCUUGGCAAGUUGGAUGUGAAAGCCCACGGCUCAACCGUGGAAGCGCAUCCAAAACUGCUUCGCUCGAGUCUCGGAGAGGAAGGUGGAAUGCUUGGUGUAGAGGUGAAAUUCGUAGAUAUCAAGCAGAACACCUGCGGCGAAGGCGGCCUUCUGGACGAUGACUGACGCUGAGACGCGAAAGCGUGGUGAGCAAACAGG
RNAcentral lists this ribosomal RNA (422 nucleotides) under uncultured bacterium. RNAcentral's name for it is "bacterial SSU rRNA". It matches the Rfam family "Bacterial small subunit ribosomal RNA", at positions 361 to 776 of the family's 1533-position model. The record is from RNAcentral.